GUUUCAGCAGGAGCUCAGAUGAAAUCCUGUAUUGCAUAUCUGGAAUCUGAAAUCUCUGUAACAGAAACUUCUCAAGAAGAAAUCAAUGAAACCACAUUUCGGAAAUACAAGCAACUCUAUCUAAAAGAAUUGAAAAUUAGAAAAUUGUCAUACAAAAAACUAAGAGAAAUUCAUCAGAAUCUAACAGAAGACACUGCUGAUUUGCUUGAUGAAAAAAAGAGUAACAGAUCUUGAUGUAUCACUCUUGCCAUAAGCUGCUUCUGAAUAUGCAUCUGGAUUCGACAUAUCUUCUCCUUUAAUCAUAUGAUGUGUUAAAUGUAAACCAAGUUCUAGUUGGAAAAGCACAUGAGAAUAUAUACAAAUUUUACAGAAAAA
Long non-coding RNA from Nycticebus coucang (slow loris), 375 nucleotides. RefSeq lists it as uncharacterized. The transcript has 3 exons. NCBI's taxonomy places the organism in Eukaryota, Metazoa, Chordata, Mammalia, Primates, Lorisidae. The record is from RefSeq and is a predicted model, not a curated record.